GGAACACGUAGGAGAAAAAAAAGGAAGAAGAAGAAGUAUCAUCAUCAUCAUCAUGGUCACCUUGUUGAGAAGAGGGAAUAGAGAGAAGAAUAAGAGCCUUAUUUUGCAGGGUGUAUAGUAAUGAAGAAAGAAGCUUUGUAAAAAGGGAAAGGGUUGGCAUGGUGAAGAUUGAAGAAGAGAGAAAACUUGAAGAGUUUGAGAGAGAGAUGCAGGGGUUGCAGGAACCGGGUGGGGUCGGAGAAGAGAGGUUGAUGACGAGAAAAGGG
RNAcentral lists this long non-coding RNA (266 nucleotides) under Phaseolus vulgaris (common bean). Its description in RNAcentral is "long non-coding RNA (PVUL_LNC004692)". The record is from RNAcentral. Lineage: Eukaryota; Viridiplantae; Streptophyta; Magnoliopsida; Fabales; Fabaceae.